CACGCCGCGUGAGUGAUGAAGGUCUUCGGAUCGUAAAACUCUGUUAUUAGGGAAGAACAAAUGUGUAAGUAACUAUGCACGUCUUGACGGUACCUAAUCAGAAAGCCACGGCUAACUACGUGCCAGCAGCCGCGGUAAUACGUAGGUGGCAAGCGUUAUCCGGAAUUAUUGGGCGUAAAGCGCGCGUAGGCGGUUUUUUAAGUCUGAUGUGAAAGCCCACGGCUCAACCGUGGAGGGUCAUUGGAAACUGGAAAACUUGAGUGCAGAAGAGGAAAGUGGAAUUCCAUGUGUAGCGGUGAAAUGCGCAGAGAUAUGGAGGAACACCAGUGGCGAAGGCGACUUUCUGGUCUGUAACUGACGCUGAUGUGCGAAAGCGUGGGGAUCAAACAGGAUUAGAUACCC
RNAcentral lists this ribosomal RNA (402 nucleotides) under Staphylococcus epidermidis. Its description in RNAcentral is "bacterial SSU rRNA". It matches the Rfam family "Bacterial small subunit ribosomal RNA", at positions 393 to 787 of the family's 1533-position model. The record is from RNAcentral. Lineage: Bacteria; Bacillati; Bacillota; Bacilli; Caryophanales; Staphylococcaceae.